AGAGAUGUGUGAUGACGCAUAUCAAUAAGCGGAGGAAAAGAAACUAACUAAGGAUUCCCUCAGUAACGGCGAGUGAAGCGGGAAGAGCUCAAAUUUGAAAUCUCCAAGGUUCUACCUUGACGAAUUGUAGUUUAUAGAAGUGUUUUCUGUUAGUAGAGUGGCAAAAGUUCUUUGGAAUAGGACAUCAUAGAGGGUGAGAAUCCCGUAUUUGACCGUUAUUCUCUAGCUGUGUGAUACACUUUCAAAGAGUCGGAUUGUUUGGGAAUGCAGUCCAAAAUGGGUGGUAAAUUUCAUCUAAAGCUAAAUAUUGGCGAGAGACCGAUAGCGAACAAGUACCGUGAGGGAAAGAUGAAAAGAACUUUGAAAAGAGAGUUAAACAGUACGUGAAAUUGUCAAAAGGGAAGCGUUUGACACCAGUGUUGUUUUUCCGAAAAUCAAUUACGAAUGUUUUGUUUUUAAGGAAGUUAUGACUUCAUCGGCUUGCUUCUCUCUUUACGAAACUUUCUUAAUGCACUUUUCGGUUAACAAGUCAACAUCAAUUUCUUUUGUUGUAAAAGGGUAUGAGGAAGGUGGCUUUCUUUUCGGAGAAAGUGUUUAUAGCCUUGUACCUCUGCAAUCGGAGAGAUUGAGGUCUGCAGCGUAGAUCCUUCGGGGUUAGAUACAUUUGUGCUAAGUUAUAGCUUUUCAUAGACAACUUGUUGACUAUGUUUAGUCUUGUAGCUUACUCGCUUACGCUAUUUUACCUACGCUUAGGAUGUUGAAGAUGUAGCACAUCAU
This 777-nucleotide ribosomal RNA is filed under the name uncultured Neocallimastigales. RNAcentral's name for it is "partial large subunit ribosomal RNA". It matches the Rfam family "Eukaryotic large subunit ribosomal RNA", at positions 23 to 635 of the family's 3401-position model. Lineage: Eukaryota; Fungi; Neocallimastigomycota; Neocallimastigomycetes; Neocallimastigales. The record is from RNAcentral.